UAUUGAUUAUAAUUUUAGGUUGACCUGCCCAAUGAUAAGGAUUUAUUAAAUGGCCGCGGUAUUUUGACCGUGCAAAGGUAGCAUAAUCAUUAGUUUUUUAAUUGAAAGCUUGAAUGAAAGGUUUGAUGAAAAAAUAACUGUCUCUAUCUAAAUUAAUUAGAAUUUUAUUUUUAAGUAAAAAAGCUUAAAUAUGAGUGGAAGACAAGAAGACCCUAUAGAGUUUUAUAAUUAUUUUUAUUAAUGAAAUUUUAGUAUUUAAGAAAUUUUUAAAUAUAAUUAUUUAAUUGGGGUGAUUAAAAAAUUAAAUAAACUUUUUUUAUAUUUUUACAUUUAUAAAUGAAUAUUUGAUCCUUUAUUUAAGAUUAUAAGAUAAAAUUACCUUAGGGAUAACAGCGUAAUUUUUUUUUAGAGUCCAAAUUAAAAAAAAAAUUGGACCUCGAUGUUGGAUUAAAGGAAAUUAUUGGGUAAACUAAUAAAUUAGGUCUGUUCGACCUUUAAAACUUUACAUGAUCUGAGUUUAAACCGGCGGAG
This 531-nucleotide ribosomal RNA is filed under the name Telaugia sp. ARC0507. RNAcentral describes it as "partial 16S large subunit ribosomal RNA". It matches the Rfam family "Bacterial large subunit ribosomal RNA", at positions 1833 to 2625 of the family's 2925-position model. The record is from RNAcentral. Lineage: Eukaryota; Metazoa; Arthropoda; Insecta; Coleoptera; Curculionidae.